Long non-coding RNA from Lolium rigidum, 577 nucleotides. RefSeq lists it as uncharacterized. The transcript is spliced from 3 exons. NCBI's taxonomy places the organism in Eukaryota, Viridiplantae, Streptophyta, Magnoliopsida, Poales, Poaceae. The record is from RefSeq and is a predicted model, not a curated record.
CGGGCCGCCGCCUCCGUGGCCUGCAUCUUCGACUUUCGGCCACGGCACAUCCGCUUGUCCGCGACUUGCAGGAGAUCGAGCUGCUCGGCACCAGGGUCCAUCCCGGCGACCACGACACUUGAAAGCAGCGGCAUAAUUACAAAGGUGAAUCCGCUCGCGAGAUUAGGAGGAUGAGCAUGCAGAGACACACAACCCCAUGUCUUCUUCUUCCUUGGCAACGGUGAAGCUCCACGACGGCCAUUGUUGGCAGGAGGAGCACAUCUGUCAGAAGCUCGCUGCGGCGCAAGACUGUCGGCAGGGAGGCGUCGAGCGAGGACAAGCAGGUGGAUGCCUUCGCGAGGUGCUCCUGUUGGCCUUCAUGGGGAGCCGCCGCCGACCUCCCUGACCACCUCCGUGAGAUGCCGGCCGACCACCAUUCUGCUCGCAGCAAGGUUGGCUUGCCUGAUGGUGCGCCGCCUCCGUGGCUUACAAGCAUGUGUUUCUUUUAAAAGAAAUUCUCCAUGCAACCGUUCUUCUGGUUUACUGUUCUUUUUGUUACUGGCAAACUGUAAACUGACAUAAAAAAAUUCUGCGGAGA